GGGCGUGUGGUCUAGUGGUAUGAUUCUCGCUUUGGGCAUCGCGUUCCGAGUAUGCGAGAGGCCCUGGGUUCAAUUCCCAGCUCGCCCC
Arxiozyma heterogenica is the source of this 88-nucleotide non-coding RNA. The record is from the annotation of a RefSeq genome assembly. NCBI's taxonomy places the organism in Eukaryota, Fungi, Ascomycota, Saccharomycetes, Saccharomycetales, Saccharomycetaceae.